UGCAAUAACAACAACAACAAAAAACAACAAAAAAA
RNAcentral lists this small RNA (35 nucleotides) under Arabidopsis thaliana (thale cress). RNAcentral describes it as "ATSL042730". The record is from RNAcentral. Lineage: Eukaryota; Viridiplantae; Streptophyta; Magnoliopsida; Brassicales; Brassicaceae.